AACAGUGUGGCGUAGGGGAUUGAGUGAUGGACUAUGACUCUGGAGACCAGGGUUUGAUUCCCAGCUCAGUGA
This 72-nucleotide transfer RNA is filed under the name Phrynosoma platyrhinos (Desert horned lizard). RNAcentral describes it as "tRNA-OTHER". The record is from RNAcentral. Lineage: Eukaryota; Metazoa; Chordata; Lepidosauria; Squamata; Phrynosomatidae.